Molecule: small RNA, 1519 nt
Filed under: Pan troglodytes (chimpanzee)
Lineage: Eukaryota; Metazoa; Chordata; Mammalia; Primates; Hominidae
Description: retained intron
Source: RNAcentral
UCCUCCGAGCGCCUCCCAGCUCAAGGCGCUCCCCGAACCCGGCUCCAAGGGACUCGGUAUUCCCCAGCGCCGGCUCCGGGCAGUCCCGGAAGGGCUCAAGGGCUGGGCGCGCUGGCUGAUCGAGACCGUCCGGGUCCUGGCUCUCGGGUCACUUGCAGAGGCCUGAGCAGAGCGUUAAUGAGAAUGAUCCAGAAGGGAGGAGAAGCGAAUGGUGCAGUGGAGAGCAGAGUCCCUGAGCAGGUGAGCAGGGAUGGGGGCCCAUGCCCAUGUGGGAAGCGGGCGCCACAGUGCUUCACGAUGGAAGGCAGAACGCCUGGGCCAGGGUGCAGGCAGGUGUCACAGAGAAUGUCCUUCAUGACCACAUCCUAAUUCCCAGAACCUGCAAAUAUGCUACUUUACAUGGCAAAAGGGAGUUUGCAAAUGUGAUUAAGAAUUAAGCUAAAGACCUUCAUACAGGGAGAUUAUCCUGGAUUCUCCAGGGGGCUGGUGUCAUCACAAGGAUCUUUAAAAGUAGAAGUAAGGAGGAGACGUGACCAAGGAAGAAGGGUCAGAGAGAUGCAACGCUUCCGAGGAACUCUGAGGAUGGAGGAAGGGACCACCCUCCAAGGAAUGUGGGUGGCCCCUGAAUGAAGAGGCAGGAGAAGGAACACAGCCCUGCCUGCCAACACCUUGAUCUUAGCCCAGUGAAUCCUGACAGACUUCUAACCCGUGGAACUGCAAGACAAUAACCGUGUGUUUGAAGCCACCAAGAGUGUGGUCGUUGGUUUUGGCAGCCAUAGAAAAGUAAUACAGUGGGUCAGGGAUCCGGGUGGGAAGGAGACAGCCCUCAGAGAAGGGAUCCGGGUGGGAAGGAGACAGCCCUCAGAGAAGGGGUCCGGGUGGGAAGGAGACAGCCCUCAGAGAAGGGAUCCGGGUGGGAAGGAGACAGCCCUCAGAGAAGGGAUCUGGGUGGGAAGGAGACAGCCCUCAGAGAAGGGCUUGUGGGGAGUCUGGGGGUGCUGGGAGAGGAGCUGGUGUGAAACAACCAGCUGACUGGGAAGCUGGUGGCCCUAGGCCGCACCGCAGGCAAGAGCAGCUCUCAGCCCCAGGAGGCCAACGGUGGUCACUGGUGUGGGAGCCAGUUACAUUUCCAAAAGAAGCUGCACUUGAGGAUUACUGUGAAGCUGACUUUAGGGCUGGAGGGGCACGGGGCCUAAGUUCUGGGUUAGUGGCUUCUGACCCUGGUCCUAGCAAUGCUUUUACUCCAGGUCAGCCUCCUGCACCUUGCCUCCUGGGCUUCCCCUUGACCCCCUCCUAGGGCAUCUGGGAAGGUGUGAUGAGUGGACUUGAGAGGUGAAAGUUGUUCCUUUGAAGCAGUCCGUGGCUGAUGCUCCCUGAAUGACAUGAGAGCUCAUUGGCAUAGCCUCUGGGUGCUACUGGGAACCAGGGCUUUCAGGAUGGCCCGUUAUCCAUCCGUGUCCUGGUGGGUACAUCCUACAUCAGCCUGUCUGAGGACAUUAAAAUAAUCCCAGGAAUGAUA